GUGGGGAAUUUUGGACAAUGGGCGAAAGCCUGACCCAGCAACGCCGCGUGAAGGAAGAAGGUUUUCGGAUCGUAAACUUCUAUCCUUGGUGAAGAUAAUGACGGUAGCCAAGAAGGAAGCCCCGGCUAACUACGUGCCAGCAGCCGCGGUAAUACGUAGGGGGCAAGCGUUGUCCGGAAUGAUUGGGCGUAAAGGGCGCGUAGGCGGCCCGGUAAGUCUGAAGUGAAAGUCCUGCUUUUAAGGUGGGAAUUGCUUUGGAUACUGUCGGGCUUGAGUGCAGGAGAGGUAAGCGGAAUUCCCGGUGUAGCGGUGAAAUGCGUAGAGAUCGGGAGGAACACCAGUGGCGAAGGCGGCUUACUGGACUGUAACUGACGCUGAGGCGCGAAAGUGUGGGGAGCAAACAGGAUUAGAUACCCUAGUAGUCC
RNAcentral lists this ribosomal RNA (425 nucleotides) under uncultured bacterium. Its description in RNAcentral is "partial 16S ribosomal RNA". It matches the Rfam family "Bacterial small subunit ribosomal RNA", at positions 354 to 796 of the family's 1533-position model. The record is from RNAcentral.